Molecule: ribosomal RNA, 496 nt
Filed under: uncultured bacterium
Lineage: Bacteria
Description: partial 16S ribosomal RNA
Rfam family: Bacterial small subunit ribosomal RNA
Source: RNAcentral
AUGAACGCUGGCGGCGUGCCUAAUACCUGCAAGUCGCGCGAACGGACGAGAAGCUUGCUUCUCUGAUGUUAGCGGCGGACGGGUGAGUAACACGUGGAUAACCUACCUAUAAGACUGGGAUAACUUCGGGAAACCGGAGCUAAUACCGGAUAAUAUUUUGAACCGCAUGGUUCAAAAGUAAAAGACGGUCUUGCUGUCACUUAUAGAUGGAUCCGCGCUGCAUUAGCUAGUUGGUAAGGUAACGGCUUACCAAGGCAACGAUGCAUAGCCGACCUGAGAGGGUGAUCGGCCACACUGGAACUGAGACACGGUCCAGACUCCUACGGGAGGCAGCAGUAGGGAAUCUUCCGCAAUGGGCGAAAGCCUGACGGAGCAACGCCGCGUGAGUGAUGAAGGUCUUCGGAUCGUAAAACUCUGUUAUUAGGGAAGAACAUAUGUGUAAGUAACUGUGCACAUCUUGACGGUACCUAAUCAGAAAGCCACGGCUAACUACGUG